Molecule: ribosomal RNA, 253 nt
Filed under: uncultured bacterium
Lineage: Bacteria
Also listed under: 1 other name
Description: partial 16S ribosomal RNA
Rfam family: Bacterial small subunit ribosomal RNA
Source: RNAcentral
GACGGAGGGUGCUAGCGUUGUUCGGAAUGACUGGGCGUAAAGGGCGCGUAGGCGGCCGCUUGCGUCGGAUGUGAAAGCCCGGGGCUCAACCCCGGAACUGCAUCCGAUACGGGGCGGCUCGAGACCGAGAGAGGUGAGUGGAAUACCCAGUGUAGAGGUGAAAUUCGUAGAUAUUGGGUGGAACACCGGUGGCGAAAGCGGCUCACUGGCUCGGUUCUGACGCUGAGGCGCGAAAGCGUGGGGAGCAAACAGG